Molecule: long non-coding RNA, 483 nt
Filed under: Fukomys damarensis (Damara mole-rat)
Lineage: Eukaryota; Metazoa; Chordata; Mammalia; Rodentia; Bathyergidae
Description: lncRNA (ENSFDAG00000029015.1)
Source: RNAcentral
CCACAGUGCAGCCUGAGUGAUAGGUCUCACUUGCCGUAUGUUGUCGGGGAAACCGAAGCUUAGGAAGAACAAGGGAGUUGUCCAAAGUAGCCUGGCGAGGAAGCGGUGGCCUGAAGAUUGUCACCCAGGCCUGUCUGCUCUGGGCCUUGCUCUCACCGCCAGCCAGGUGGAAGGUCCCAGAGAUGUGAAAUCUCACGCCGAGCUGUCUCACACCACGCGAUAGGAGAUCAAAGAAGGAGUGGAUAUGAGGACCUCAAAGAAAACCUGUGCUUUGCCAUCCAUCCUGACCUCUCCUUCCCUCCUCUGGAGCAUCUAUAGCUAACACUGGUAUGUGUGCCUCCUGAGCUCUUGGCUUGGGAGUGGCCGGGUGACUGAGGAAUGUUAUUAUUAAUUAACUUAAAUUUACCUAAUUUAAAUUAGAAGCCAAAGCAGCAUCACAUAUUUUCCUGUUAAACACAACUGAAUUGUUAUGUAGAACUUUUU